AGAACGAACGCUGGCGGCAUGCCUAAUACAUGCAAGUCGAACGAACUCUUCGGAGUUAGUGGCGCACGGGUGCGUAACGCGUGGGAAUCUGCCCUUGGGUUCGGAAUAACAGUUGGAAACGACUGCUAAUACCGGAUGAUGACGAAAGUCCAAAGAUUUAUCGCCCAGGGAUGAGCCCGCGUAGGAUUAGCUAGUUGGUGAGGUAAAGGCUCACCAAGGCGACGAUCCUUAGCUGGUCUGAGAGGAUGAUCAGCCACACUGGGACUGAGACACGGCCCAGACUCCUACGGGAGGCAGCAGUAGGGAAUAUUGGACAAUGGGCAAAGCCUGAUCCAGCAAUGCCGCGUGAGUGAUGAAGGCCUUAGGUUGUGAAGCUCUUUUACCCGAGAUGAUAAUGACAGUAUCGGAGAAUAAGCCCCGGCUAACUCCGUGCCAGCAGCCGAC
RNAcentral lists this ribosomal RNA (444 nucleotides) under uncultured soil bacterium. RNAcentral describes it as "bacterial SSU rRNA". It matches the Rfam family "Bacterial small subunit ribosomal RNA", at positions 26 to 518 of the family's 1533-position model. The record is from RNAcentral.